CCUAGGGUGGCUGCAGUAAGGAAUAUUGGUCAAUGGACGCAAGUCUGAACCAGCCAUGCCGCGUGGAGGAUGAAGGUCCUCUGGAUUGUAAACUUCUUUUAUUUGGGAAGAAACUCCCGAUUUCCAUCGGGAUUGACGGUCCCAGAUGAAUAAGCACCGGCUAACUCCGUGCCAGCAGCCGCGGUAAUACGGAGGGUGCAAGCGUUAUCCGGGUUCCAUGGGUGUAAAGGGUGCGAGGUAGGUCAGGGAUGAAAUCUCCGGGCUUAACCCGGAAACUGCCAUUGAUACUAUUUGUCUUGAAUACUCUGGAGGUGAGCGGAAUAUGUCAUGUAGCGGUGAAAUGCUUAGAUAUGACAUAGAACACCCAUUGCGAAGGCAGCUCACUACGGAAAUAUUGACGCUGAGGCACGAAAGCGUGGGGAUCAAACAGGAUUAGAUACCCGUGUAGUC
RNAcentral lists this ribosomal RNA (450 nucleotides) under uncultured bacterium. RNAcentral describes it as "partial 16S ribosomal RNA". It matches the Rfam family "Bacterial small subunit ribosomal RNA", at positions 338 to 795 of the family's 1533-position model. The record is from RNAcentral.